RNAcentral lists this unclassified non-coding RNA (335 nucleotides) under Hevea brasiliensis (rubber tree). Lineage: Eukaryota; Viridiplantae; Streptophyta; Magnoliopsida; Malpighiales; Euphorbiaceae. The record is from RNAcentral.
AUUUCCUAGAUUUUACUUGACCAAGGGAAAAUCAUUGAGGAAUACAUCGAAUAAGCCAUCAGCAGGAUCAAAAGUUAGCCAGACAUUAGAUACCAGUAUAUUUUAUGGUAAGCUCUGAAGCAAGUUAUAAUUUUUUUUACAACCGUAGCAUCAAGGCCAGCUUGUGCACACCUCAGCUAAUUCCACAGGAUACUACCACCAAAAAGGUAGGAACAGGUCCCCCGUAACCUUGUCCACCAAGGGCCAAGGCUAGAUGGGAUGAAAUAGCGAGUUGUAACUUUCUAAAUGUGUGAAUAUAAGCACAGCUGAUGUGCUCUGUGCAGAGUUGAUGAUAA